RNA transcript from Mercurialis annua (annual mercury), 2632 nucleotides. It is a transcript of the gene named protein RETICULATA-RELATED 6, chloroplastic, with no coding region annotated. Lineage: Eukaryota; Viridiplantae; Streptophyta; Magnoliopsida; Malpighiales; Euphorbiaceae. The transcript has 10 exons. The record is from RefSeq and is a predicted model, not a curated record.
AAUCAAAAACGAAAAAUUCUUCGAACUUUCUCUUGGACGUUAAAAAAGAUGAAGCUAAACUCCCACCACCACCAAAUCCACGGUGGCUUCACUUACAAACCACCGCCACAUCAUCAACUGUACAUACACAGCUCAUCUUCGCCGGAGCCGCGGAUUCCUUCGAAACGCAACUUUACUCUCUCACUCCGUUGCGCUUCACAAACUCCUCAAACUGCAACAAGACGCCGCGUUUUACUAACUCCACUCAUCGCUCUCGGCGCCUCCGUCCUCCUCCAAUCUUCCUCCUCAUCCAAGGCGGAAGACGCCACCAAACCUCCUACUCCUCCCCCUUCGCCUACUCCUCCUCCGUCUCCUCCUUCUUCGCCGCCUCCGCCGGCGACGGUGGAGGUAAACUCAAGAAUAUACGAUGCGACGGCGAUAGGAGAGCCGAUGGCGGCAGGUAAAGACAAGAGAAAAGUAUGGGAGAAGCUAAUGAAUGCGAGGAUAGUGUAUUUAGGAGAAGCCGAACAAGUACCUGUAAAAGAUGAUAAAGAAUUAGAGCUUGAAAUUGUUAAAAAUUUGACAAAACGCUGCGUUGAAAGUCAGAAAUCUAUUUCUUUAGCUAUGGAAAUGUUUCCUUCUGACUUACAAUCUCAGCUGAAUCAAUUUAUUGAUGGAAGGAUAGAUGGAGAAACCUUGAAGUCUUAUUUGACACAUUGGCCAGUUCAAGGGUGGCAAGAGUAUGAGCCUCUUUUGAAUUUUUGCCGUGAUAAUGGAGUUAGAAUUGUAGCUUGUGGUACUCCACUUGAGAUCAUACGGACAGUCCAAGCUGAAGGUAUUCGUGGGCUCUCAAAGGCUAAUCGUAAACUUUACACUCCCCCAGCUGGUUCCGGCUUCAUCUCAGGGUUUAGUUCUAUUUCACGUAGGCCAAUUGACAUGAAUUAUCCAACGCAAUCAGCUCCUUUUGGGACAAGCUCAUAUUUAUCUGCUCAAGCAAGAGUAGUCGAGGAUUAUUCCAUGUCACAAAUUAUUUUAAAAGCAGUGGCAGAUGCAGGUGCUACUGGUAUGCUUGUAGUGCUGACAGGUGCAAGCCAUGUUAUGUAUGGAUCAAGAGGCACAGGGCUUCCAGCAAGAAUUUCAAAAAAGAUGCAAAAGAAGAACCAAGUAGUUAUAUUACUUGAUCCUGAAAGGCAAUUCAUGCGAAGAGAGGGGGAAGUUCCUGUUGCUGAUUUUUUGUGGUAUUCUGCUGCCAGACCUUGCAGCAGAAACUGUUUUGAUCGUGCUGAAAUUGCUCGAGUAAUGAAUGCAGCUGGUCGGAGGCGCGAUGCCUUACCCCAGGACCUUCAAGAAGGACUUGAUCUUGGAUUAGUAUCACCAGAGGUACUGCAGAAUUUCUUUGACCUAGACCAGUAUCCUCUUCUAAAGGAACUAGCUCAACGUUUUCAGGGAUUCAGGGAAAGACUAUUGGCAGAUCCCAAAUUCUUGCACAGAUUAGCUAUUGAAGAAUCCAUAUCUAUAACGACUACUCUCUUAGCACAGUAUGAGAGACGUAAAGAAAACUUUUUUGAAGAGCUUGACUAUGUAAUUACAGACUCUGUCAGGGGAAUAGUGGUUGAUUUUUUCACUGUCUGGCUUCCUGCUCCAACUCUUUCGUUCCUAUCAUAUGCUGUCGACACAAAUGCGCCUGACAACAUUGAUGCUUUAAAGGGUCUCCUUGGCUCCAUACCUGACAAUGCAUUUCAAAAGACUCUUCCUGGGAAGGACUGGAAUCUCAGUCACAGAGUUGCAUCUGUGCUUAUCGGUGGCCUUAAACUUUCUAGUGUUGGGUUUAUCUCCAGCAUUGCUGCUGUGGCUGCUUCAAAUUCUUUGUAUGCAAUUCGCAAACUCAUCAAUCCAGCACUAGUUACUAAUCAACAAACUAAAAGAUCACCAAUACUUAAAACAGCACUGGUUUAUAGUGGCUUCCUUGGAACAUCAGCAAAUCUGCGCUACCAGAUUAUUGCUGGACUAAUCGAGCAUCGGAUUUCUGAUGAAUUUGCUUCCCAAACACUCCUUGUAAAUAUGAUAUCAUUUAUUGUUCGGACAAUAAACUCCUACUGGGGGACCCAGCAAUGGAUCGACCUCGCACGGUUUUCAGGACUGCAAAGUAAGAAGGAUAAUUCAUCUUCUGAUGAGAUACUGAUUACCACUACUAGUGUUACAGAAGGAUCAAAUACUUCAGAGAAUGCCAGUAUGGAUGAAAUCAACAAUCAAUAAGUAAUUCUAAGAAUUGGCAUACUAUUCGAUAUCUCGUUGAGCAUUGUUUCAAUCCUUGGUCAGGUUUUACUAAUGGCUUUCAAUCAAUCACAUCAAGCGAGUGAGUCUGAUCUAGAAAUCCUAAUGACGUGUUGGCUCUGAGGCAUUCAUCUUUUUACAAGUACCAAUUAUAAGUUCUGCUGUGCUAAUGUCCCAAGAUUUCAUCUGACUUGUAUACCAAUAUAUGCGUAAUGGGUUGCCAUUUAUUUAUGGAUAAAUAUAGAGAAGAAUUGAUUAGAAUGGCGUUGGUGCUGAACUUGGUUUUACUCCUAUUUAUGCUAUUUUUCAUCCAAUUGUUAGUAUCUUGGGUUGCAGCUUUUGUAAUGGUUAUGAAGCACAAGCAAAUUGAGGCAAUUCG